CUCUAAGGUGACUGCCGGUGACAAACCGGAGGAAGGUGGGGAUGACGUCAAAUCAUCAUGCCCCUUAUGACCUGGGCUACACACGUGCUACAAUGGACGGUACAAAGAGCUGCAAGACCGCGAGGUGGAGCUAAUCUCAUAAAACCGUUCUCAGUUCGGAUUGUAGGCUGCAACUCGCCUACAUGAAGCUGGAAUCGCUAGUAAUCGCGGAUCAGCAUGCCGCGGUGAAUACGUUCCCGGGCCUUGUACACACCGCCCGUCACACCACGAGAGUUUGUAACACCCGAAGUCGGUGGGGUAACCUUUUUGGAGCCAGCCGCCUAAGGUGGGACAGAUGAUUGGGGUGAAGUCGUAACAAGGUAGCCGUAUCGGAAGGUGCGGCUGGAUCACCUCCUUUCUAUGGAGA
Molecule: ribosomal RNA, 406 nt
Filed under: Proteus mirabilis
Lineage: Bacteria; Pseudomonadati; Pseudomonadota; Gammaproteobacteria; Enterobacterales; Morganellaceae
Description: bacterial SSU rRNA
Rfam family: Bacterial small subunit ribosomal RNA
Source: RNAcentral